This 254-nucleotide ribosomal RNA is filed under the name uncultured bacterium. Its description in RNAcentral is "partial 16S ribosomal RNA". It matches the Rfam family "Bacterial small subunit ribosomal RNA", at positions 524 to 776 of the family's 1533-position model. The record is from RNAcentral.
UACGUAGGGACCAAGCGUUGUUCGGAUUUACUGGGCGUAAAGGGCGCGUAGGCGGCUUGUCAAGUCACUUGUGAAAUCUCUGGGCUUAACCCAGAACGGCCAAGUGAAACUGACAUGCUAGAGUGCAGAAGGGGCAAUCGGAAUUCUUGGUGUAGCGGUGAAAUGCGUAGAUAUCAAGAGGAACACCUGAGGUGAAGACGGGUUGCUGGGCUGACACUGACGCUGAUUGUGCGAAAGCUAGGGGAGCGAACGGG